UUUCAGAUAUACUCAAGCUACAUUGGGUGUUAUGUUGCAUAUUUUGCUCUCUUUAAUCCCUUGGAACACCUCCUUAUACUGGAUUUUACUACAAUUUUCUUGUGAAAAGGUCAUAAAUAUUAUUAACAAAAGCAGCACAAGUGCUGUAAAUCUGUGCAGAGCAAAUUUUUACUACAAUUUAUGUUUGAAAAUCACUAGUGUAGCAGCAUUUGCCCCCAAAAUGCAUAAACUGGUAGUUUCAUCUCUGAUAUAUUUGUGAUUUAUGUUUUUUUGUAACCAGCUGUUAACAUUUCUAUAUUUCUCCUGCCAGUUGAAUGAUGCAGUGGAUAAUCAAGGAAGUGUUGCUAACAUGGCAAAUGAGUUGGUAGAGCAUACAGGUUUGAGUGAAGAGGUGAAUGAAACACCAGAACGACCUUCAGCUUUGAGUGAAGAGGUGAAUGAAACACCAGAACGACCUUCAGCUUUGAGUGAAGAGGUGAAUGAAACACCAGAACGACCUUCAGCUUUGAGUGUGAACGGGGACGAGGAGGAAGGGUGUGGUGACAGUGCUGAUGAUGGUGAUGAUAGUGACGAGGAGGAAGAGAUUAAACAUCCCGGUGAAGUCUCUGUAGGGAAGAAGAUUUGGACUUUCAUCACGACAUAGUGGA
RNAcentral lists this long non-coding RNA (647 nucleotides) under Capsicum annuum. RNAcentral describes it as "long non-coding RNA (CANN_LNC021854)". The record is from RNAcentral. Lineage: Eukaryota; Viridiplantae; Streptophyta; Magnoliopsida; Solanales; Solanaceae.